This 558-nucleotide unclassified non-coding RNA is filed under the name Hevea brasiliensis (rubber tree). Lineage: Eukaryota; Viridiplantae; Streptophyta; Magnoliopsida; Malpighiales; Euphorbiaceae. The record is from RNAcentral.
AAAGAUUUAUGCAAGUUAUGCGCUAAACAUGUACAAUGGAAGGGGGUAGUUUUGGAGGAAAAAAAUCUUGGUCUGGAACUCAUUUGUUCAAACUUGCGAAAGUCAAGAAAAUGGGCAUCUGACACGUAUGUAGAGCACUACCCACGGAGGCUCUCUGCAAGUUGCAGGUCUGUGCACCACAAAGUCCUCAAAAUUUCACAAUCCCCAUUUCAAGCCCGCUCUGGUUCCUGGACCCAAAGCGCACGGCCCAAAACUGCCAAGACUUGUUUGGCAUUUGUGAAAAAAUAAAGGGGAAUCCCCGUCAUUUCGCCUAUCCCCUGCCUUUCCUUCAACUUCGUUCACCCUUUAAAAGACCAGAAAAGCGGGAGAUGAUGAUGUAGUCUCAGACAGAGAGAGAUGGAGAUUGGAGAGUGAUACUUCGCCGGAGAGAGCUUUUCCUCUUUCGUAGAUUGAGUGUAAGUUAACGGUAAAGUGUGUGAGAAGACUUGAAAAGAUGACGGGGAUGGUGCGAGAACAGAAUCUGGAGAAGCAGAUAGAGAAGCAAAUGGGGUGCAUGGC